GUGAUUAAAGCACACACACAUUUAUAAAGUCAAUCAUCCCUCCGUUCUUCGCCUGUGUAAAGACUGGUUAGUUCAUUAGUUAGUAAAGUGCACUUAGAUCACACUGAAUGUUCAUGUUGUGUUCAUUUUGUGUAGUUGACAUUUUAGCGGCAGCUAAAGAUGCAUCAGAAUGAAAGACGAUGAAGGAAAUGAAUGAAAUGGAAUUAUUGACUGAUAAACUCACCUUUAUUGUUGACAUUUGUUGUUUUUUGUUUUUCAGAGAUUUGUGGGAGAAGGCGGAUCGGACCUGCUCUGUCUGUCACACAUUAGCCACGCCCCCUAAUCCAUCACCUGAUGUACAGCUGGAGGACGAGGCUCAUCCUUGACCUCAGGUUUCUGGCUCAGAGAAGACACCGAUCACGGCUCCUCCACGUCGUCCAGGCCAGUUUAAUUACCCAACAUCCUCUCUGCCCAGGGGUUCAACAUGAGACAGCGGUCUGGCUGGAUGAAGACCAGAGUACAGUCCAGAUGUUAACCAGGUGUGUCUUUGCCGUCGUCGUCUCUGAGCCCCCUCAGCUGUUUUCAUCCGACAGAGCUCCUCCCACAUCCAUCUCCAGAUCGGAGGUGAUAAAUGAAGCCGCUGUGGAAACAAGACAUCCACUUUAUGAGGUCGGCCAGCAGCCGAAGUCAUUAAACUCAGCUUCAGUUUCAUCAGGUCUCACAUCGAACCCCAUCAUGUUCAGAGGACAAGUCAGUGGAGUGAGGAGAAGAGGACGGACGGGAUUGGCCGGGCACUUUGAUUGA
This is a long non-coding RNA of Echeneis naucrates (live sharksucker), 783 nucleotides long. NCBI's taxonomy places the organism in Eukaryota, Metazoa, Chordata, Actinopteri, Carangiformes, Echeneidae. The record is from Ensembl.